This 1455-nucleotide ribosomal RNA is filed under the name metagenome. RNAcentral's name for it is "bacterial LSU rRNA". It matches the Rfam family "Bacterial large subunit ribosomal RNA", at positions 1463 to 2925 of the family's 2925-position model. The record is from RNAcentral.
UACGAGAUGCUCAGGAGUCUCGUGGGCUCGGAGAUGUGUAUAAGAGACAGCAGUAAGGCUGAGUGUUAGGCAAAUCCGGCACUCAUAAGGCUGAGCUGUGAUGGGGAGAGGAAAUUGUUUCCUCGAGUCGUUGAUUUCACACUGCCGAGAAAAGCCUCUAGAUAGAUAACAGGUGCCCGUACCGCAAACCGACACAGGUAGUCAAGAUGAGAAUUCUAAGGUGAGCGAGCGAACUCUCGUUAAGGAACUCGGCAAAAUGACCCCGUAACUUCGGGAGAAGGGGUGCUCUUUAGGGUUCACGCCCAGAAGAGCCGCAGUGAAUAGGCCCAAGCGACUGUUUAUCAAAAACACAGGUCUCUGCUAAACCGUAAGGUGAUGUAUAGGGGCUGACGCCUGCCCGGUGCUGGAAGGUUAAGAGGAGUGGUUAGCUUCUGCGAAGCUACGAAUCGAAGCCCCAGUAAACGGCGGCCGUAACUAUAACGGUCCUAAGGUAGCGAAAUUCCUUGUCGGGUAAGUUCCGACCCGCACGAAAGGCGUAACGAUUUGGGCACUGUCUCAACGAGAGACUCGGUGAAAUCAUAGUACCUGUGAAGAUGCAGGUUACCCGCGACAGGACGGAAAGACCCCGUGGAGCUUUACUGUAGCCUGAUAUUGAAAUUCGGCACAGCUUGUACAGGAUAGGUAGGAGCCUUUGAAACGUGAGCGCUAGCUUACGUGGAGGCGUUGGUGGGAUACUACCCUAGCUGUGUUGGCUUUCUAACCCGCACCACUUAUCGUGGUGGGAGACAGUGUCAGGCGGGCAGUUUGACUGGGGCGGUCGCCUCCUAAAAGGUAACGGAGGCGCUCAAAGGUUCCCUCAGAAUGGUUGGAAAUCAUUCAUAGAGUGUAAAGGCAUAAGGGAGCUUGACUGCGAGACCUACAAGUCGAGCAGGGUCGAAAGACGGACUUAGUGAUCCGGUGGUUCCGCAUGGAAGGGCCAUCGCUCAACGGAUAAAAGCUACCCCGGGGAUAACAGGCUUAUCUCCCCCAAGAGUUCACAUCGACGGGGAGGUUUGGCACCUCGAUGUCGGCUCAUCGCAUCCUGGGGCUGUAGUCGGUCCCAAGGGUUGGGCUGUUCGCCCAUUAAAGCGGUACGCGAGCUGGGUUCAGAACGUCGUGAGACAGUUCGGUCCCUAUCCGUCGUGGGCGUAGGAAAUUUGAGAGGAGCUGUCCUUAGUACGAGAGGACCGGGAUGGACAUACCUCUGGUGUACCAGUUGUCGUGCCAACGGCAUAGCUGGGUAGCUAUGUAUGGACGGGAUAAGUGCUGAAAGCAUCUAAGCAUGAAGCCCCCCUCAAGAUGAGAUUUCCCAACUUCGGUUAUAAGAUCCCUCGAAGAUGACGAGGUUAAUAGGUUCGAGGUGGAAGCGUGGUGACACGUGGAGCUGACGAAUACUAAUCGAUCGAAGACUUAAUC